CUCUCUCUCACACAACACAACUACUUGCUCUCAUUUCUCCUCCCUCACGGAGGGACGAUUUUGUUGGUCCGAUUCCACCGUUGUACCGCCUGAAAUCCAAAGUUGAUUCACGAACUUGGACUAUUUCAUUUUGACCAGCCCUAAGUUAUUUAAUGCAGUUGAUCAUGUUAUUCUUCCUAAUGGCAAUGGCCUAAAGACGAUUUUGUGUAAAUCCAAAGUUGCCACCGCCUGAAAUCCAAAGUAGCCACUGCUGACUAUUACAUUCUCACCAGGAUGAAGAUAAAUAAUGUGUAAGAAGAUUAGAGAUUAUGAAUAAGAGGUUGAAGGAGCAUUAGAAGAUGCUUGCCGACAUCAAAUUGGGCAUUAAAUAAGCACAAAGUGCAUGUGAUUUCUUAGAUUUGCAAAUGUAAUUUUGCAUGAGUACCAUGUCUUCGCAAACUAACUUCAUGACUCCUCAAUGAUGAACUUCUGGAAUGGGUUGUGAUUCUUGGCAAUAGUUUCCCUAUAACCAGUUGUAUUGUAUUGACAAUGUUUAUAAUUCGUUCAAAAUGAGUUUUGACCCUUCUUUUUUUCAAAUUA
Molecule: non-coding RNA, 579 nt
Organism: Camellia sinensis
Lineage: Eukaryota; Viridiplantae; Streptophyta; Magnoliopsida; Ericales; Theaceae
Source: RefSeq, a predicted model, not a curated record